RNAcentral lists this small RNA (77 nucleotides) under Salmonella enterica subsp. enterica serovar Typhimurium. RNAcentral's name for it is "Hfq binding sRNA". The record is from RNAcentral. Lineage: Bacteria; Pseudomonadati; Pseudomonadota; Gammaproteobacteria; Enterobacterales; Enterobacteriaceae.
AACCCCCAGCCUAGCUGGGGGUUUUGUCCAUUGAACCAAUCAUGAAGAAAAAACAAAAAACCCUCUCGAAUGAGAGG